This 376-nucleotide ribosomal RNA is filed under the name Rhizobium sp. SA_06. RNAcentral describes it as "partial 16S ribosomal RNA". The stretch from base 9 to 274 matches the Rfam family "Bacterial small subunit ribosomal RNA", at positions 55 to 353 of the family's 1533-position model. The record is from RNAcentral. Lineage: Bacteria; Pseudomonadati; Pseudomonadota; Alphaproteobacteria; Hyphomicrobiales; Rhizobiaceae.
GCUUACACAUGCAGUCGAGCGCCCCGCAAGGGGAGCGGCAGAMGGGUGAGUAACGCGUGGGAAUUACCCAUCACUACGGAACAACUCCGGGAAACUGGAGCUAAUACCGUAUACGUCCUUCGGGAGAAAGAUUUAUCGGUGAUGGAUGAGCCCGCGUUGGAUUAGCUAGUUGGKGGGGCAUGGGAUCSYSGCUUGGKAGGCCAUUACCCCMCCAACUAGMUGAUCCCCACCCSGGGUCAUCCAUCACCGAUAAAAUCUUCUCCCGAAGGGAGUAUARCGGAUUAWCUCCCRUUUCCCCGAGUUGUUCCCRAGGGUGGGAAGAUUCCAAGAGUUUCCUCCCCGUCUGMGCGUCUCCUUUGGGGGGGUCCAAUUGAUA